GAUGAACGCUGGCGGCGUGCCUAAUACAUGCAAGUCGAGCGAACAGACGAGGAGCUUGCUCUUCUGACGUUAGCGGCGGACGGGUGAGUAACACGUGGAUAACCUACCUAUAAGACUGGGAUAACUUCGGGAAACCGGAGCUAAUACCGGAUAAUAUAUUGAACCGCAUGGUUCAAUAGUGAAAGACGGUCUUGCUGUCACUUAUAGAUGGAUCCGCGCUGCAUUAGCUAGUUGGUAAGGUAACGGCUUACCAAGGCAACGAUGCGUAGCCGACCUGAGAGGGUGAUCGGCCACACUGGAACUGAGACACGGUCCAGACUCCUACGGGAGGCAGCAGUAGGGAAUCUUCCGCAAUGGGCGAAAGCCUGACGGAGCAACGCCGCGUGAGUGAUGAAGGUCUUCGGAUCGUAAAACUCUGUUAUUAGGGAAGAACAAAUGUGUAAGUAACUAUGCACGUCUUGACGGUACCUAAUCAGAAAGCCACGGCUAACUACGUG
Molecule: ribosomal RNA, 497 nt
Filed under: uncultured bacterium
Lineage: Bacteria
Description: partial 16S ribosomal RNA
Rfam family: Bacterial small subunit ribosomal RNA
Source: RNAcentral